GACGAACGCUGGCGGCGUGCUUAACACAUGCAAGUCGAGCGGUAAGGCCCUUUCGGGGGUACGACGAGCGGCGAACGGGUGAGUAACACGUGGGUGACCUGCCCUCCAGCUCUGGGAUAAGCCUGGGAAACUGGGUCUAAUACCGGAUAUGACUCCAUGACGCAUGUUGUGGGGUGGAAAGCCUUGUGCGGCUGAGGAUGGGCCCGCGGCCUAUCAGCUUGUUGGUGGGGUGAUGGCCUACCAAGGCGACGACGGGUAGCCGGCCUGAGAGGGCGACCGGCCACACUGGGACUGAGACACGGCCCAGACUCCUACGGGAGGCAGCAGUGGGGAAUCUUGCGCAAUGGGCGAAAGCCUGACGCAGCGACGCCGCGUGAGGGAU
This 382-nucleotide ribosomal RNA is filed under the name uncultured bacterium. RNAcentral describes it as "bacterial SSU rRNA". It matches the Rfam family "Bacterial small subunit ribosomal RNA", at positions 28 to 409 of the family's 1533-position model. The record is from RNAcentral.